Molecule: ribosomal RNA, 336 nt
Filed under: Pectobacterium carotovorum subsp. carotovorum ICMP 5702
Lineage: Bacteria; Pseudomonadati; Pseudomonadota; Gammaproteobacteria; Enterobacterales; Pectobacteriaceae
Description: bacterial LSU rRNA
Rfam family: Bacterial large subunit ribosomal RNA
Source: RNAcentral
GGGUUGUGAGGUUAAGCGACUAAGCGUACACGGUGGAUGCCUAGGCAGUCAGAGGCGAUGAAGGGCGUGCUAAUCUGCGAUAAGCGUCGGUAAGCUGAUAUGAAGCGUUAUACCCGACGAUACCCGAAUGGGGAAACCCAGUGUGUUUCGAUACACUAUCAUGACAUGAAUACAUAGUGUCAUGAGGCGAACCGGGGGAACUGAAACAUCUCAGUACCCCGAGGAAAAGAAAUCAACCGAGAUUCCCCCAGUAGCGGCGAGCGAACGGGGAGGAGCCCAGAACCUGAAUCAGUUUGUGUGUUAGUGGAAGCGUCUGGAAAGUCGCACAGUAAAGGG